Long non-coding RNA from Vitis vinifera (wine grape), 384 nucleotides. RefSeq lists it as uncharacterized. The record is from RefSeq and is a predicted model, not a curated record. The transcript is spliced from 3 exons. NCBI's taxonomy places the organism in Eukaryota, Viridiplantae, Streptophyta, Magnoliopsida, Vitales, Vitaceae.
AUUAAAUUCCAAAUUCCUUCAGUCCAAGUCCCAAUUACAGUGCCCCCAGCAUUGGCAUGGACUGAUGAUUUGAUUAAGCGACGACUAGUCGCUGAGAUAAAGGAGUUUGGAGCAUUCGGACAUGCUGAGAUUGAUUUUGCGUCCGAGAGAUCUCCAUCCGUAGAGAGAACUAUGGAGCCAGAGACUAAUGUGGACCAUGACACAAAUGUUGAUGCUGAAAAUAGUGAUGAAAUAUGGCAUCAAUAUCAUGAUGCAGAACGAGCAAUCGACCAAUAUCAAAGGGGCAUUCAGCAGCAGCUGAGAAUAAUGCGUGGCCUUAUGCAUAAGUUAGGGACUCGCAGACAUAGUGGGGUAAAUUCAGAUGCGGGUGGUCACUCUAGCUAU